GCGGAGGAAAAGAAACCAACAGGGAUUGCCUCAGUAACGGCGAGUGAAGCGGCAAAAGCUCAAAUUUGAAAUCUAGCACCUUCGGUGUUCGAGUUGUAAUUUGAAGAUGGUAACCUUGGGUUUGGCUCUUGUCUAUGUUCCUUGGAACAGGACGUCAUAGAGGGUGAGAAUCCCGUCUGAUGAGAUGCCCAUUCCUAUGUAAGGUGCUAUCGAAGAGUCGAGUUGUUUGGGAAUGCAGCUCUAAGUGGGUGGUAAAUUCCAUCUAAAGCUAAAUAUUGGCGAGAGACCGAUAGCGAACAAGUACAGUGAUGGAAAGAUGAAAAGAACUUUGAAAAGAGAGUGAAAAAGUACGUGAAAUUGUUGAAAGGGAAGGGCAUUAGAUCAGACUUGGUGUUUUACGAUUAUCUUCUCUUCUUGAGUUGUGCACUCGUAUUUCACUGGGCCAGCAUCGAUUCGGAUGGCAAGAUAAUGGCAGUUGAAUGUGGCUUCACUUCGGUGGAGUGUUAUAGCUUCUGCUGAUAUUGCCUGUCUGGAUCGAGGGCUGCGUCUUUUGACUAGGAUGCUGGCGUAAUGAUCUAAUGCCGCCCGUC
Molecule: ribosomal RNA, 590 nt
Filed under: Hansenula anomala
Lineage: Eukaryota; Fungi; Ascomycota; Saccharomycetes; Phaffomycetales; Wickerhamomycetaceae
Description: eukaryotic LSU rRNA
Rfam family: Eukaryotic large subunit ribosomal RNA
Source: RNAcentral